CCUAACACAUGCAAGUCGAACGGGAAGCGGUGCAUAUUGCUUCGGUGAUAAUGUGCCGUGGAGAGUGGCGAACGGGUGCGUAACACGUAGGUAACCUGCCCUGAAAGGGGGGAUAACCACGGGAAACUGUGGCUAAUACCGUAUAAUCUCGCCGUGGCGGUGGUUACGGUGAGGAAAGCUGAGGCGAUUUGGGAGGGGCCUGCGGUCGAUUAGCUGGUUGGUGGGGUAAAGGCCCACCAAGGCGAUGAUCGAUAGCUGUUCUGAGAGGAAGACCAGCCACACGGGAACUGAGACACGGUUCCGACUCCUACGGGGGGCAGCAGUGAGGAAUAUUGCGCAAUGGGGGGAACCCUGACGCAGCAACGCCGCGUGGAGGACGAAGGUUUUCGGAUUGUAAACUCCUUAACUGGGGGAAGAGAGAGGACGGUACCCCUGGACGAAGACACGGCUAACUAGGUGCCAGCAGCCGCGGUAAUACCUAGGUGUCGAGCGUUAUCCGGAAUUACUGGGCGUA
This 514-nucleotide ribosomal RNA is filed under the name uncultured bacterium. RNAcentral describes it as "bacterial SSU rRNA". It matches the Rfam family "Bacterial small subunit ribosomal RNA", at positions 47 to 562 of the family's 1533-position model. The record is from RNAcentral.